UACGGAGGGGGCGAGCGUUAUUCGGAAUUAUUGGGCGUAAAGGGCUCGUAGGCGGCCAACUAAGUCGGACGUGAAAUCCCCAGGCUCAACUUGGGAACUGCGUCCGAUACUGGAUGGCUUGAAUUCGGGAGAGGGAUGCAGAAUUCCAGGUGUAGCGGUGAAAUGCGUAGAUAUCUGGAGGAAUACCGGUGGCGAAGGCGGCAUCCUGGACCGACAUUGACGCUGAUGAGCGAAAGCCAGGGGAGCAAACGGG
This 253-nucleotide ribosomal RNA is filed under the name uncultured bacterium. Its description in RNAcentral is "partial 16S ribosomal RNA". It matches the Rfam family "Bacterial small subunit ribosomal RNA", at positions 524 to 776 of the family's 1533-position model. The record is from RNAcentral.